Molecule: ribosomal RNA, 253 nt
Filed under: uncultured bacterium
Lineage: Bacteria
Description: partial 16S ribosomal RNA
Rfam family: Bacterial small subunit ribosomal RNA
Source: RNAcentral
UACGUAGGGGGCUAGCGUUGUCCGGAUUUAUUGGGCGUAAAGAGCGUGUAGGCGGCCAGGUAGGUCUGCUGUGAAAACUCGAGGCUCAACCUCGAGACGUCGGCGGAAACCAUCUGGCUAGAGUCCGGAAGAGGAGAGUGGAAUUCUCGGUGUAGCGGUGAAAUGCGUAGAUAUCGAGAGGAACACCUGCGGCGAAGGCGGGCUGCUGGGCUGACACUGACGCUGAAGCGCGAAAGCUAGGGGAGCGAACGGG